GGUGGCUCAGUGGUAGAGCUCUUGCCUUGCAUGCAUGAGGCCCCGGGUUCGAUUCCUCAGCACCA
Molecule: non-coding RNA, 65 nt
Organism: Dipodomys ordii (Ord's kangaroo rat)
Lineage: Eukaryota; Metazoa; Chordata; Mammalia; Rodentia; Heteromyidae
Source: Rfam